RNAcentral lists this ribosomal RNA (603 nucleotides) under Enterococcus faecium. Its description in RNAcentral is "bacterial SSU rRNA". It matches the Rfam family "Bacterial small subunit ribosomal RNA", at positions 56 to 629 of the family's 1533-position model. Lineage: Bacteria; Bacillati; Bacillota; Bacilli; Lactobacillales; Enterococcaceae. The record is from RNAcentral.
UGCAAGUCGAACGCUUCUUUUUCCACCGGAGCUUGCUCCACCGGAAAAAGAAGAGUGGCGAACGGGUGAGUAACACGUGGGUAACCUGCCCAUCAGAAGGGGAUAACACUUGGAAACAGGUGCUAAUACCGUAUAACAAUCAAAACCGCAUGGUUUUGAUUUGAAAGGCGCUUUCGGGUGUCGCUGAUGGAUGGACCCGCGGUGCAUUAGCUAGUUGGUGAGGUAACGGCUCACCAAGGCCACGAUGCAUAGCCGACCUGAGAGGGUGAUCGGCCACAUUGGGACUGAGACACGGCCCAAACUCCUACGGGAGGCAGCAGUAGGGAAUCUUCGGCAAUGGACGAAAGUCUGACCGAGCAACGCCGCGUGAGUGAAGAAGGUUUUCGGAUCGUAAAACUCUGUUGUUAGAGAAGAACAAGGAUGAGAGUAACUGUUCAUCCCUUGACGGUAUCUAACCAGAAAGCCACGGCUAACUACGUGCCAGCAGCCGCGGUAAUACGUAGGUGGCAAGCGUUGUCCGGAUUUAUGGGGCGUAAAGCGAGCGCAGGCGGUUUCUAAAGUCUGAUGUGAAAGCCCCCGGCUCAACCCGGGGAGGGUCAUGGG